UUUUGUGGUCAAGUUUUUAAGAGCACACGGUGGAUGCCUUGGCAUUAGGAGCCGAAGAAGGACGUAGGAAUCUGCGAUAA
This 80-nucleotide ribosomal RNA is filed under the name Arthrobacter nitrophenolicus. RNAcentral's name for it is "partial 23S ribosomal RNA". The record is from RNAcentral. Lineage: Bacteria; Bacillati; Actinomycetota; Actinomycetes; Micrococcales; Micrococcaceae.